AAAUGAAUAGACGGGGGCCCGCACAAGCAGUGGAGUAUGUGGUUUAAUUCGAAGCAACGCGAAGAACCUUACCAGGUCUUGACAUCCCGUGCAUAGUGUAGAGAUACAUGAAGUCCUUCGGGACACGGUGACAGGUGGUGCAUGGUUGUCGUCAGCUCGUGUCGUGAGAUGUUGGGUUAAGUCCCGCAACGAGCGCAACCCUUAUUGCUAGUUACUACGAAAGAGGACUCUAGCAAGACUGCCGUUGACAAAACGGAGGAAGGUGGGGAUGACGUCAAAUCAUCAUGCCCUUUAUGACCUGGGCCACACACGUACUACAAUGGCUAUUAACAAAGAGAUGCUAAGCCGCGAGGUGGAGCGAACCUCAUAAAAAUAGUCUCAGUUCGGAUUGCAGGCUGCAACUCGCCUGCAUGAAGCCGGAAUUGCUAGUAAUCGCGGAUCAGCAUGCCGCGGUGAAUACGUUCCCGGGCCUUGUACACACCGCCCGU
This 488-nucleotide ribosomal RNA is filed under the name uncultured bacterium. RNAcentral's name for it is "bacterial SSU rRNA". It matches the Rfam family "Bacterial small subunit ribosomal RNA", at positions 903 to 1397 of the family's 1533-position model. The record is from RNAcentral.